RNAcentral lists this ribosomal RNA (459 nucleotides) under uncultured bacterium. Its description in RNAcentral is "partial 16S ribosomal RNA". It matches the Rfam family "Bacterial small subunit ribosomal RNA", at positions 338 to 795 of the family's 1533-position model. The record is from RNAcentral.
CCUACGGGAGGCAGCAGUGAGGAAUAUUGGUCAAUGGGCGGGAGCCUGAACCAGCCAAGCCGCGUGAAGGAAGACGGCGCCAUGCGUUGUAAACUUCUUUUGUCGGGGAACAAAGGGCGCCACGCGUGGCGUUGUGAGUGUACCCGAAGAAUAAGCAUCGGCUAACUCCGUGCCAGCAGCCGCGGUAAUACGGAGGAUGCGAGCGUUAUCCGGAUUUAUUGGGUUUAAAGGGUGCGUAGGCGGUCCUGAAAGUCAGCGGUAAAAUCCCGGGGCUCAACCCCGCCGAGCCGUUGAAACUGUCGGGCUAGAGAGGGCGAGAAGUACGCGGAAUGCGUGGUGUAGCGGUGAAAUGCAUAGAUAUCGCGCAGAACUCCGAUUGCGAAGGCAGCGUACCGGCGCCCGACUGACGCUGAGGCACGAAAGCGUGGGUAUCGAACAGGAUUAGAUACCCUUGUAGUC